GGAGGGUUACGGCCCGGAGGAGAGAAGUUGGGUACCUGCUAGGGACAUUCUGGAUCACUCCCUUAUCGAUGAUUUCAAUCGACAGUGUUUGUGUGGGCGUGGUUCCCAAUCUCGGCCUGAUUGUCUGCGCCAGCUGGAACCACUUAUCUUCCCUUUAUAUGUUCUGUUACCAGUGUUUCUUGUUGUCAGAUCGUUGUUUCUUCUCUGAGGUUGUGUCGUGUGUCCGUGCUCUUCUCUUGUGUGGAUUAUCUGCUGUGCUCCUUCCUACUCAUCCGGACACACUCCCCUGGUUUUCUCAGCACGUUAUCAUCGGAAGAUGCGCCCGAGUUCCUGGGUCGGAUUCCUUCUGAGUACAGUCUGUCUGUCAUGUUGCUGCUGUGAACUACAUUCAUUAAACCAUCGUUGCUUGCAUCUUG
Oncorhynchus masou masou (cherry salmon) is the source of this 416-nucleotide long non-coding RNA. RefSeq lists it as uncharacterized. The transcript is spliced from 2 exons. The record is from RefSeq and is a predicted model, not a curated record. Lineage: Eukaryota; Metazoa; Chordata; Actinopteri; Salmoniformes; Salmonidae.